Molecule: ribosomal RNA, 774 nt
Filed under: uncultured Neocallimastigales
Lineage: Eukaryota; Fungi; Neocallimastigomycota; Neocallimastigomycetes; Neocallimastigales
Description: partial large subunit ribosomal RNA
Rfam family: Eukaryotic large subunit ribosomal RNA
Source: RNAcentral
GAGACUCUGUGCGCGUGCAUAUCAAUAAGCGGAGGAAAAGAAACUAACAAGGAUUCCCUUAGUAACGGCGAGUGAAGCGGGAAGAGCUCAAAUUUGAAAUCUUCAAGGUUCUACCUUGACGAAUUGUAGUUUAUAGAAGUGUUUUCUGUUAGUGGAGUGGCAAAAGUUCUUUGGAAUAGGACAUCAUAGAGGGUGAGAAUCCCGUAUUUGGUCAUUCCUCCUAGCGUUGUGAUACACUUUCAACGAGUCGGAUUGUUUGGGAAUGCAGUCCAAAAUGGGUGGUAAAUUUCAUCUAAAGCUAAAUAUUGGCGAGAGACCGAUAGCGAACAAGUACCGUGAGGGAAAGAUGAAAAGAACUUUGAAAAGAGAGUUAAACAGUACGUGAAAUUGUCAAAAGGGAAGCGUUUGACACCAGUGUUGUUUUCUCGAAAAUCAAUUAAAAAGAGUUGGAUUUUGUAUUGUUAAGACCUUAUCAGCUUACUGUACUUUUUUCUUGCUCUUUUUAAUGCACUUUUCGUUUAACAAGUCAACAUCAAUUUCUUUUGUUGUAAAAGGGUCAUUGGAAGGUGGCUUUCACUUCGGUGAAAGUGUUUAUAGCCUUUGGCUUCUACAAUCGGAGAGAUUGAGGUCUGCAGCGUAGAUCCUUCGGGGUUAGAUACGUAGAUGCUAAGCUAUAGUUUUUUAUAGACAACUUGUUGACUAUGAUUAAUCAUGUAGCUUACUCGUUUACGCUAUUUUACCUACGCUUAGGAUGUUGACAGCAGUAUAGACUGU